This 12967-nucleotide long non-coding RNA is filed under the name Daucus carota (carrot). Its description in RNAcentral is "long non-coding RNA (DCAR_LNC000493)". The record is from RNAcentral. Lineage: Eukaryota; Viridiplantae; Streptophyta; Magnoliopsida; Apiales; Apiaceae.
CUGACUACCACCGGAGCUGCACAAAAUGUCCGUAUGAUCUAUGCAUCGCUUGUUGUCGGGACUUCCGUGCUGGCUCUUUGCAUGCAGGUCAUAUGAGAAGCAUUAACCAAUAUAAAAACCUCAGGGUGGGCUAUUUACAUGGUGAAACAUGUAAACUUUGUAGCAAUAGAACUGUGGGCACAUCUACUGAAACAUCCCCUGAAGGCAAGACCUGAAUGGAGACCUAACAAGGAUGGUAGCAUCUCUUGUCCACCUAAGAGUAUUGGUGGGUGUGGUGGUAAAGGGAUUCUAAAGCUGAACCAAGUCUUGCCAGACAGUUGACUUUCAAACAAGAUAUUGAAAGCUGAAGACUUGUAUGAACUGUAUAAUCUGGAUGGCAUGCCAGAAGAUCCCAUACACUGGUGCUCGUGUUAUAAUUUGGCACGUGAUAACACGGCCACAAAGAAAAUAAGGAAAGCCACUUCUCGAGAAAACUCUGAUGACAACACUUCUACUCUCCAAGUUCUAUAGACAUUCAAGCUGGGGAUCAGAAGCAUUUUCAGACCCAUUGGUCAAAAGGGGAACCAGUGAUUGUUACUAGUGUGCUUGACAGUACAUAUGGUUAAGCUGCGAACCAAUGGUGAUGUCUCGAGCAAUCCAUGAUAAGUCCCACACCGAUGUGACUUUCUUAAAUUGUUUGAGCUGGUGCGAAGUAAGUUUUUUUCUUACUUUUAUAGUAUAUACAGUUUAUUCCGUCUUAUUUAACAAAAAACAUUUACCUCUGGAAUUAUAAUGUAUUCUGUAUAACUGAAUCCACUGUUUUCCAAGUGCAUAUAUAGUAGUACUAGCAAGUAAAACUGUUCCAAAUUAGUAAAGGGUUUAUGUGAGUACUUGUUUAACAGACUGCAAUCAAAUGUUUAGCUAUAAUAAUUAUGAAAUCCAGUUAUUAAUCAUACAACUAAGUUAAGUAUUAAAUAUUAUUUUUCUUGCAGGAGGAAUAUAGCCCAAGUUCGUUCUUUAAAGGCUAUACAGAGGGUAUACUUGACUUGUCUGGCUGGCCCCAAAUGCUCAAGUUAAAUGAUUGGCCUCAAUCUGGUUCGUGUGAGGAUCAUCUCCCACGUCAUAAUGUGGAGUUCUUAAGUGCUUUGCUGUUCAAGGAGUACACACAUCCACAGAGCGCCUACUUGAACCUUGCUGUCAAGUUACCCGAGGCCAAUCUGAAGCCAGACACAGGGCCAAAGCUGUAUACGCUUAGAUAAUGCACAAACCACGCCUCUUGGCAGUAGUAUGUGUAGUUUGAUUUUUAACUUACAAUAGAAUUAAAAAAUAGCUUUUGAUUUCUAUAUUUGCACAUUUUUGGAGCUGAAAGAUUCAUACAUACUCCCUCUGUCCCUCUCAUUUCUUUACACUUUUUUUACAUUGUUCGAUACGCAUUUUAAGGCGUAUAUAAAUAUAGUUUCAUAACUUUUUUCCAAAAUUUUUCUUUUUUGUAUAAAAAUUUAGAUAGUAAACAUUUUUUCAGAAGAAAAGAAUUCAAAAUAAUUUGUCAAGCUAUAUUUUAUAAGAGCAUUGAAUGCGUGCCGAGCCCCCGUCCCCCAAUGUAAACAAUUGAGGGCGAUGGAGGGAGUAAUAGCUUUCCUCAGUUGUUUAAACAUAUACUUGCUUCUAUCAGGCAAUGGCUACCAGACUCUGUACUUUUUGUAAUUGGAAUCUUGUUUCUGUGAGUUUGGCUUGAUUUUAACUUAUGUUAUGGCCUCUAUUUCUUGGUUUGUUUGGACUUUGGAUGCAAUAUCUCUUACCUAAUUUCCUGUCCAGUAAAAUGCUGGAGACUAUUAUCCUUAGAAAUAGUAACAAAUUUCCCGAAGCAUGCAUCAGCCUGUCAAUCCUUGUUACUAAUUUUGCCUUUUGAAUCCUAAUUCUGACCUGCAGGUUGGUUAUGAAAUGAUAUUGUAAGAUAAUUGUUAAGUUAACUGACAGAGUAUCCUUCCCAAGUUAGUCAUAAGCUAAAACAACUUGUGCCAGAUGUGUCGUAUGAAUUCAACUGGCUUGGAUUAUGAUUUUACCAUCUGAGCACUUUUGAUCAAAAUGUGCAUUACAUUGUAGGAAUAUUUUCUUUACAUAAAUCUGACACUGAGGGAAAUGAGCUGCCUCAUCUGGUUUAUGUUUCUCGUGAAAAGAGGCCUGGAUUCGAACACCACAAAAAAGCUGGUGCUAUGAAUCCUCUUGUAAGUUUAUUACCCACUACAUUAAUGCAUUUUCUGUCUUCAUCUUGUUUGAAGUUUGAGUAAGUUUUAAAGUGUAUGUUAGUAUAUAUUUUAUUUUCCCUUGUUGACGCGUAUCAUGUGGUCUUCUAGAUUCGAGUCAUCUCUAAUGCUCCAUUUUAUUUAUACUCUAAUUUACUUCAUGUUAUUCAAAAAAAUUUCUUCAUUUGAUAUGCUUGGGUAGCAGUGUAGUAUUGUCGAUGUGCGUAAAAAUGUGGUUUUGGUUUGGUUUUGGUUCUUAUAAAAUGGAUUUGGUUUGUUUUGGUUUGGUUUUGGUUCUUAUAAAAUGGAUUUGGUUUGGAUAGAUUAACCAAAACCAUUUCCAAACUAUAUAUUAAUAAAUGUGGUUAUGGUUUUAGUUUGAAUUAUGGAUAACUAGUUUAGUAAGUAAAAAUAAGUAUUAUAUAAUGAACAAAAGUUAAUACACUCAAAUCACAAUAUAAUGAAUACUAUAUAUAACAAAAGUGUGUGUGAGUGUGUGAGUUGAUGGAGUGGUUUAAGCUCUUGGCUUCUCCAAGUAAGGUCAUGAGUUCGAAUCAUCGGAUGGGCAUGUGUGAUAAUUAGCAAAAAGAAAGAAAGAAAAGAAAAGGAACAUAAUAGUGUGUGUGGAGAGUUAUAAGAAAUCUUAAAAGUGAGACCAAAUGUGGUUAGAACCAUAUUUUGUGAGAAAUGUGAGACUAGAAACCAAACCAAAUCCAUUUUUCUAAAUGUGAUUUCAAAUGGAUCCAAAUUCACAAUUUUGGUUUGGUUUGGAUUGGUUUAAUGGUUUUGCAUCCAUAUUGCCACCUCUAUGCGUAAUUAAUAUCAUGUUAAAGCUAGCUAGCUGUGCAGGCUCUUAUUAUCUAGCUUUUGCGAUUCUUUUGGGUGUAUGUAUAUAUGUCCUUUUGGAGGUGAUGAAUUGUUCUGUAUAUAUGCAACUAUUGCCACAGUCAUCACCGUUGUGGAAAUGAAUUUCUUAAAAACAGUGGCUUUUCGGUGGAAAAAAGUAAGGCUGUUCUACUGUAUAUGUCAUGUUUGGCAAUAACGAUAUUGCAUGAUAUUCAGUAAUUUAAUUGUUAAUGCUGCAGAGAUUCUGACAUACACUGUUGACAUUAAGGAUGAAAACAGGCCAUGCCCGUUCAGAUGAAAUCAGGCUGCGCCCAGCAGCUACAUGAUCAGAAUGAUAUCUAUAUUACAUUCUCAAAGAUAUCUAUAUUAUCUUAUAAUUUCUACGUUGGGAAUGGUAAAGUUCUUCAUUUCACUAGAGGUGGUCAAGAAGUGGGCACUGGAACUGUAUUAGACCUCCUUUUGGUAAUCUCAGCACCAACCCGCUCUAACCUUCCCUGUGACUGCAAGCCAAUGAGGUAUGUUAAAACAGGGAUCCAAUGCAUCAGGAUGAGGUAUGUUCAAUCAUAUGUUCAAUCUUUGUUGAAGUUAAUAUAAAUAUCAGUGCACCUAUUCAAUAAUGAUUUUGAAGCUCUGCAGAGACUUGGCAAACCUAGAGGAGGCUAUUUUGUAACUAAAACCUUUGAUUCGCACUAGUUCGUAUAACUUUUGUCUGUGUAGACUCAAAUGAUGUAAACAGGUGUUACAUCUAAUAUUGCCUUGAGAAUUUAUACCCUGCCAAGCAAAUGUUAAGAAUAUCCUUCUUUGCCGAUAUAAAUCAACCUUGGUAUGUGAUAUUGGCUUGAUUAGGUUGUGCAAAUAAUCUGAUUGACUUCUUUGUCUUGCUUUUUCUCUCUCUUUACUUUUGAAAAAAAACAUUUACUGAAAGAAACUUUCUUUAAUUUAUAGUAGAGACUUGGUUUUAUUAUAGUUUCUAUAGCACACAAAACUUACCUAGCACUUUUUGGAUUUUCAUAAAUGAUUCAUAUUGGUCCUGAUUCCUGAAGCUCCAAGGAAUUGUCUGAUGGAAGCGAGGUUCUUGAAAUUUAUGGCUAGAGCAACUACAUGGCUUUGUUUGGCAGCUUUGACUUAAUUGUUGAUGGUCGUUCAUUCAACAAUCUGCUUUAGUACAAGCAGAUUGUUUAAUAUAAGGGAAACGUUAAGAUGGUUUUGGUUGAAUAUAUUAGGUACUUUAGUUUGUAUGAAAAGUUAGUUUAUUGGGAUGUUUAAUAAUUUAAAUUAUAUUUUCAAUUUGAUUUAGUAGAUGAUGUUGCCUUUAAUAAAUUAAAUGUUGCAACUGAUACAGUGAAAUGUUGCAAAAUUGUUAUUCAAUGUUGGAGUAGCAUAUAUAACAAAAACAGAGCUUUUCUCGGUUUCGCAAGUUCUGCAAAUUAAUUCGUCGAAUCAAUUCAUCUCUGCCGAUCUCUGCUGCAACCUGGAGUGCACCAUAGACAGCAUCUUGGGUACAUAAAUCUGGUGAUGUAACAUCAGGUGCGAUUUCUUGACUUCCCAUGAUAACAGAAGUCAUAGGUAGUUCACAGAUUUUGUUAUGAAUCUUGUAUAGUUUUCUGAUGAUAUUUAUAAGUAGUUUGAUAUAAAUUCGAAUGGGAAUGUGAUUAGGAUUUAAUCCUACGAAACUUAGGAUUUAGGAAAACACCUGGAGUUAGAAGAUAGUCCAUGUAGUUUCUUUUGUCCGAAAAGUCCAUGUUUAAGAAUAAUUUUUCUUUAUUAAUUAAUAUAACUUUUAUUUUACUAGUUAAUUAGGUUUUUUUUUUGUUAGAAAUUGUUUAUUAUUUAUAUUAGUAGUAAUAAAUAAAGUAUAGGAAUUUUAUAAUGCAAACUUUGAUAUAGUUUCACUAACAUAAUAAUUUUAUGAUUGAGUUUUGGAGAUACGCUGAAAAUUUAUCGUUUGCAUCUAUUUAUGUUAUUUAAAUUUAGUGAUCUUAGAUUAUGAAAUUAAAUUAUUAUAUUCUCUCAUAAAUUCUAAAACAAAUAUUGCUAAGAACCACACCGUAUCUCGAACUCGAAUGGAUAUAUUUUCUCUAUCAAUCGUAUGACAUUUUUUGUUUUCAAAAUUAAAGUAUCCUGAUAACUCUCAUAUAUCUAUUAAACAUAACUUGAAAUUGAAUAAGAUGAUGAUGAUGAUAAUCAAAAAAUUACACAUUCCUGUAAUAAUAGAUGUUGAUGAUGAUGGUGAUAGUGAUGAUGUAAAUGAUGAUGUUGGUGUUGAUGAUGAUGUUAAUGAUGAUUUUGGUGUUUAUGAUAAUAAUGUCGAUGUUUAUAAUAUUAGUGUUGUUGACAUGUGCAUUUUAUGAUAUAAGUUUUGUAAUUCUCAACAUAGCAAAAUACAUAUUAAUAUGUAAAGGACAUGAUAUGUAAUAACAUUGAUCGCUAUUUUAAUUUUGCUGUAUAAAACUUCUGAGACUUUUAUAUAGGCAUUUUUCAACUUCUCGACAUAUUGAGUCUAGCCUACUUGACAUCCGACUUUCCAAAAUUUCAACAUUUAAUAAAUUGUAUUUUUGAAUAUGAGGCAUGAAUAAAACUUAAACUUCUUUCAAAAACUUAAUUAAGUAGCUUGACAAUUUUUUAACUCGUGGUGGAUAAAAUAAGACGAGUCUUCAAUCAUAUAUAUGCUUUACAAACUUUAUUACAAAUAUAUUUUUUCUUAAAUCAAAACUGAUAUUCAGAACCAAAAAAAAAAAAAACAAUAUCAAUGUCAAGUUCAGCAUAAACUGUCUAUUUUUUUUUUUUGCCAUAUUAUUUUAGUAGGCAGUAGCAUUAAAGUCCGUGCCGUGUCCCCGUCCCCCAAUAUAUACUAUCCAGGGGCGGAGGGAGUAUAUAAGUUAUUGGGUUAAACAAUAGGCCAGUUUUGUUCACACCGGAAUGAAUCAAUGAUCGAACUGUUAUUUCUUCUAAAUCGAAACAGAGCUAAAUUGAAUUAUGGACCAAAAUAAAGCGAAACUGAAUUAGGUCGUUUGGUUCGUGGAACCGUAUCGGGUUGUAAUAAGAAUCGGUUUGGAGUAGUAUGGGGUUAAGGUAUCAAUCCUCAUAUCUUGUGUUUGGCUGAUUGUUGGAAUGAAUUUGUUUAAUUAAAAAUAUAAUCAUGUUGUUGAUUAAAAUAAAUUAUUUUAUUAAAUAAAAAAAUAUAAAUAUUUUUAUUAUCAAUAAUAACAUUUAUUUGUAUAUAUAAAUAUAAAUAUUUUAUUUAUUAUUAUUAAUAUUUUUUCUAAAUAUAAGAAAAAAAUAUUAAUACUCAUACUCAUACCAGUUUCUCAUACCCACCCGUCAACUUGGGUUUUAAAAAGUCAUAAUCCGGAAGUUUCAGGUAUGACCGUAUGGGUAUGAAGUAUGGGUUUGCCUGAUUCCUCGUACCACCAAACGACCCCUUGCGGGGAGUAUGGGUAUAAUUGACCACCGGUCCACCGUAAAUUAGUGUUAUUGGAUUUUAAACUUUGAAUCAGGGGUCCUUUUUGUUCAUUUUUUCAACUCAAGAGUUCAAUUGCUUUGAUUAGUUUGGUUUCUCUCUUUGUUUCAGGGUUCUGAGAGAGAUUCUUGUAGUGUGUUAUAAACUCUCAAGCAUGGAUUUCGUUUUGCUGCUGAUAUCUCAAUGAUGUACAUUAAGACGGUUUCUUGAUUAGCAGAGUUAGCUUAUUGAUUCUGUUUGUGACCGUGUUCACAGGCUCCAGUGCUCUGCAACUGUUUAUACAAGUUGCAGAACCACCCUCUUGGUAAUAUUUCUUUCCCUCAAUUUUUCAUUCAAGCAAUGUUUUGACAUUUUCUUAUGGUUCAAUUGUUUAUUAGAAUUAUAACUCUUGGUAAAGUUUUUUGCUUUUUAGUUAGUGAAUUAUAUAGUAAAAGCUGUGAUUGGAUUCUAUUGGUUUUAUAUUAUGACAUUCAUCUCAAUUGCAUUGUUGUUAAUUUUUUGUGUUGAUUUCUAAGGCUUGAUUACUUUUCCGGAAAAACCAAAGCCUAUUUCUGAUAUAUUCUUGACAAAGAAGAUAUGGAGGAGAUGAAUAUUUUAUAGAAUAUUUUUAACUUGAUCAGAUUUAUGGGCUUGAUGUAUAAUGUUUUCGUAUUCUAUAUAGUAAUUUGUUUUAUCAAGUGGAAACACUCGAAUAAACAUAGGAAAGCUUAAAGGUGUUUAGUCAGGAAGAAAAAAUCAGUAGAAAGAUUGAGUUGGUUGAAAGAAAUUGGAGAAGGGUAUUUGAUGAGUCAAUUCAGUGUCUCCUCCAGCGGCAAAACAAGUGAGAACUUCUUGAACUUCUUGAACUUCAAACACGAGGAAUGACGGGGAAGGCUAUUUGCGCCCGUCUAGUAAUUUUCAGGUACUAAUUUAAUGAUAACUUACAUCUGUAUAGGCAUUUAUUCCUAUAUUUGUUUAUGUCUAGUUCCUGGACAGUGAAUUACAAUACAAACUAGAGUAAACAAAAAUAUUAAUUUUGGAUAUAAUCCAACCAAUGUAACUUUAUAACCAUUUUAAUAGUGUUCAUCUUGUAUAUGUCUUCCCAUAUAUGACAAUAUAGAUUCUUGUUACAGAGAAAGGUUACAUUUCAAUUCGAUAGUUUAUUCUCCAUCUCGAUUAUCUUAUUUCCAUCAAAGUCGUACUGAAAUCUUGGGGUAUGUUGACGACUAGUAUACAAUAUAGGGAAUUUUUUGAUUUUAAAUCAUAUUCAUCCUCAUGUACUUCAAUAUCAUAUUCACUGUAGAACGACAAUACUGGAAAGUGAUCCCCAAACUGUGUUGGUCAUACCACAGUGGUAGUUUCAUAUAUCGUAAAUGAAUUAAACAAAAACAUUGCACUCAAUGCAAUGACAGAAAAUGUUAUUACGAACAUCGGUAGAGUUCAUGUAGCUUGGCAAAACAGAAACUUUCAAAUUGGAGGGGAUCAAGUGACCCCUACAAAUGUUUACGGGACUGAUGCUCUAUAGAUUCCAAAUCUCACUCCAGAUCAAGAAGUCUCAGGUGAUUUGGGUGGAGGAAUAUAUUGAGAUGCCUUGCUGUGACACAUGCAACCUCAAAAGACGAAAAUAUUUCUUAAAUUUUAACAAACAUAAAUUUGGAGCCUCUUCUUUAUUGUUUCUAGGAUGCUCUAAAUUAUUCUAGAGAUGUUUAGAAAAUUCAAAUAAAUAAAUAAAUAAUUACUUCAUAAAUUAAAUUGUGCAAUAUACUAUGCGUAGCGUAAUAUUAAGUUUCUCACUUUGAUGCUUUGUAGUCAAUAAUGUGUCUUGGAAACUACCAUAAUCAAUUUCCAAUUAUAUAGAUUUACGAGUUGCUUCCUGUCACCAAUUUUUGCAAAUUUCGUGAUACUGCUCGACUUCGAACUAUAUGAUUAUGUCAACUUCUCGAUCCAAAGAUAAAUAAUCAAUGAAGGCAUUUUUGAGGAAUCAUUCCUUAAAGGAUCCUCUACAUCCCCAUAUCCCCAUGAUAAGGAUUCAACAUAAUAGUGGUCCAUCUCACCAACACCCUACUUCCAACAACAACCAUAGAGAUGAUAUUAAUUUUUUGUCAAGUACACUAUAGGUGCUAAUAAGAAACAUCUUUUAAAAUCACCUCAGACCCCAAAUGAUUUUGCUUAAAUUUCCAAAUGCUCUAGUCUUAAACCAAAAAUUAAAAAGGAAAUAUUUUCUUUUAUUGCAUCUACGAGGCUUACCUUUGACAUAUAAUUCAACACUUUGUAUUUCUAAUGUAACAAAAGAAAAUGAAUUACCUUAUGCCAAUAAUGCAACACCACUAGGAUAUAAAUGUGACACUAAAUUUUAUUGUGUCAAUGAUGAAGUUCUAAAACUGGUCCUAUUAUAAACACCACAACAUUAGCAGGUCUCCCUACAAGAUUAACCUAAAUAAAUUAAUUCAUUAGCAUAGUAGCUAACAUAGUAGAUAGAAUUUUAUUAUGGUUCAUAUAACAUCCGGGCCCAUAACUGAAUGCAUACCGGACCUAACAACCCACCACAGGUCGGCUCAAAAGUUCUAGCAAAUUGGUAUACAUUAGUUAUUCGCUUAUGCUUAUAAAGGACCGGAAUACUCUUUAUCUUAUCAAUGUGGAAUGUUACAAACACCCCUCUUAUAUGCUUGACAUCCUCGUCGAGCCCAUAAUCAAACUUACGAAACCCGUGCAGUGCCUUUGCACUUCCGACCGGGUAGAGCUCUGAUGCCAUUUAUAACAUCCGAGCCCAUAACUGAAUGCAUACUGAACCGAACAACCCACCACAGCUACUUACUUGAUUUAUCAACCAACUCUAUUUAUAAUGUACUUAACUACUAUACUAAUGAAUUAAUUAGUUUAAGUUUAUCAUGUAGAGGGACAUGCUGAUGUUGUGGUAUUUGUAAUGGGACUAAUUUUAAAGUUUCAUGUUUGAGUCAACAAAAUUUAGCGCAACAUUUUUAUCCUAAGGGUGCAUGUCGCAUUAUGUGCAUAAUGUAAUUUGUUUCCCUUUGUUGCAUUUGACAUACAAAUUGUUGCAUCAUAUGUUUAAAAGUAAGCCUCGUAUAUGCAAUACAAAAGAAUAUUGUCUUUUUUACUUAUUGGUCUAAGACGAGAGCAUUUGGGAAUUUAAUCAAUAUUAUUUGGGGUUUGAGGUAAAUUUAAAAAAAUAUUUCUUCUUAGCAUUUAUAGUGUACUUGACCAUAAUGAAUAUCAAUCAUCUUUUGACCGAGAACUUGGCGUAACCGUAUAGUUCAAAGUCGAGCAGUACCACAAAAUUUUCAAUAAUCAGUGAAAUGGAAGCAACUCGCUAAGCUAUAAUAGGAAGUUGAUCAUGACUUGUGAUUGUUUCAAAGAUAAGUUAUUGACUACAAAGCAUCAACAUGGGCAUCUUAAUAUUAGGCUAGGGAUAGUAUAUUGCGCUAUUUAAUUUAUGACACAUUUAUGUCAUUUUUUUGGCUUAAUUUUCUGAACUACUCUAGAAUAAUUUAGAGCAUCCUUGAAUGUUCUUGUGUAUUGUAGUAUUUAUGGGAUGCGUGUGAAAAGGUUUAGCAUUUUGUCGUAAUAUAAUUAUAUAAUAUCUAAGAUAUAUAUCUAUAGUUAACCCCUCCGGAACCUUCCUUAGUGUUGAACAUUCGUCAGGAAUCUAGAUGCUUCCUAACAGGUGUAUAGAUUGAAGAGCUCCCGGCAACUAAUAAAGUUAUAAUCUCAUACACAUACACUUGUUCACAUUCACAGAAUUUCUCUUAUAUGUAUCCUAUGUUACUUAGACUCGGGUGCGGAGUGUCGGAUACGACACAUAUCCAAGUGUCGGAUUCGAUAUUUUUCAAAAAUUAGGACACGGGGACACUGUCCGGAUUUUGGACACGGGUACGGGGACACGGUAUAAUAUAAAUUAAUUAAAUAAUUUUAUAUUAUUAAAUUGAUAUUGUUUUUUUAUUUUUAAUUAUUAUUUCAAGAAAGAAAAAAUGAACUGAUAAAUUUUUUUAACAAAAAUAAACAUUGACUGAAGAUGUGAGGUUAUAUAUAACUUUAAAUAUACACAUAUACUUCCACUGUGUCUUUUUUCUUUUCUUAUUUGCAAUGUCGGGACUGUUCAUAACAGGAUUCGUAUUCACGAGUACUUUAAUACGGUGAAGUUUUUAUAUUUAAUAUCAAUACGAAACUAAAGAUAUUAACGAUCAAAAGUGUGUAUUGGCAAACGUGUCAAAGACAAAUAGGAAAAGUAUUAAGAGACGGAGGGAGUAAUAUAAAUGACUAUACUUCAGUGUUAUUAAAGACAGCUGUACACCUAUCCACCUAACACAGCUGUACACCUAUCCACCUAACCACAAAUGAAUGUGGACCACAUGAUGUCCAAGCACAGUCCUUUCUUAUGCCUUAUCAUCUUCUUUUCUUUUUUCUCUUUCAUCUGCCUCAUCGUCCUCAUAUCAUCUAUCUAUUUCAUCGUCUUCUUCUAUAAUCAUCUUCUUCCCUUUUUAUUCUUCAUCUUCUCUCUUCUUCCCUUUUUAUUCUUCUGUUACACCCCCUUUAAAUUUUCCGGCGACCUUCAUAUUUUUCCGGCGCUAGAAAAGAAGUGUCGGUUUUGCAUAUGGUGAAUCCACCCUGUAUCCUGCGUCGUGUCGGGUCGACACGGAUACGGCCGCCGGAAGUGCCGAGUCGGAGUAACACAGUAUGUAUAUCAAUCUUCAAUAUCAAAGGUGGAUUGCUUUCACAAACAAUGAAGAAAAUGCUUCAAAUUUACAACACCUCCCGAGUCAUCAGACUAAUUUGGCUGGAAGGUAUCCUCCGCGAUUUUCUUGAUCUUCUCCUGAGAUUAAUUAUAAUCAUUUCUGGUAAUUUUAUUGGACAAGGCUUCCCAUGCUUUAUACAAUGGUCCAUGUGAUUCAUUCUUUAUACAAUAGUCCAUGUGAUUCUGGUAAUCAUUGGAUAGAGACAAGUUUCCCCCAUUUUCUUCUUUCAGUCCACACCUAGGGACACACUGACAUUUCACUCCACAAACUCCCCUCACUCCACACGCUCACCUCACUCUCUAAAACUCACCUUUGCUUAAACUCACUAGCGAUCAGGUAAAAUCGGGGAACCUCUCCCCUCAAACUUACCUCUCAAUUGAUGAGGUUUAGUUUGAGGUCUUUAAUUGGGGAUUCGAUUGACAGCUUCUUCAUUCCGCGGAACUAGGGCUUCCGGUUUAUAGUUCCUUUAAAUUUGUUUACUAGCUUCUUCAUUUUUUUUCACUAUAAUGUUUUUAGUUGUGUCUUUAUUUUUCUCAGGGCUUGGAUUGAAUUGGGGCUUUACUGGAACUAGAGCUUCAACAGCUCUUAACUUUAAGAGGCGCUUCGGUUUUCUUUGAUCUAAGGUACAAUCCGCUGUCAUCCUUAUAUUUUUACUUUAAAUGCAUGCUUUGUUUUUGAUUUUAUGUGCAAAUACAUGUCUUUGACUCUUUGUUGUGAUAUGUGUUCCUAUGUUAUGUAAAGCAUCCCCCCCCCCCUCUCCCCGUCUCCCUCUGUCUCUCCCUCUCUCCAUCCCUCUGUCCCCUCUGUCUCUCCCCCUCUGAGAGUCUAUGUCAUGUUAGUUUAUAUUAGCUUAUGUUAGUUUAUGUUAGUGGAUGUUAGUGUAUGGUUGUUCCUGUAUAUCACAGUAACGAUUUAAUUAUUUGCUUAAAUUUACACAAAAGCGUCUUUACCUGUUCUAAGCUUUUGGACCAGUCAUGCUCGGUUGAAAUGACAGUGAAGUGAACACUUCCUUGUUCAAUAGAAUACCAUUGCUUAUCCUUUGCAGACAUUCUCCUCCUGAGUCUGUGAUCCAGUGCCUAAAAUCCACUGUUAAACUAUCCAUGAUUAAUGUAUGUGUCCUAUAAUUCUACAAUCAUUAUUCAGUAAUCAUUUCCAUCUGAUAUCAAAUCUUGAUUUUCUAUAAAGGUAGAAACUAGAUAAUGACCAUAGCAUCGAAACUUCCUUGUGAAAUUACUUUCCUCUUUUUAUAAUUAAAAUACCAUGUAGCUAAGCUUAUCAAAAUUAUUCAUUUCUGUAUAGUUAUAUUCAAUAGGACUACAGGCCUAACAUGAAAACCAUAUCAUCUAGUAUAAAUUCUGGUGGUUUAGAGCUAUUGAGGAUUAGCCUCUGGUGAAACAUCUACUUCUAGUGAGAGUACUUGUGCUUAGUAAAGCAAUGUUCUAUGCAGCAACUAUUACGGAACUUCUAUUGCUGACUACCACCGGAGCUGCACAAAAUGUCCGUAUGAUCUAUGCAUCGCUUGUUGUCGGGACUUGCGUGCUGGCUCUUUGCAUGCAGGUCAUCUGGGAAGCAUUAACCAAUAUAAAAACCUCAGGGUGGGCUAUUUACAUGGUGAAACAUGUAAACCUCGUAGCAAUAGAACUGUGGGCACAUCUACUGAAACAUCCCCUGAAGGCAAGACCUGAAUGGAGACCUAACAAGGAUGGUAG